RNAcentral lists this unclassified non-coding RNA (251 nucleotides) under Glomeraceae sp. RNAcentral describes it as "partial contains 5.8S ribosomal RNA and internal transcribed spacer 2". The stretch from base 1 to 71 matches the Rfam family "5.8S ribosomal RNA", at positions 84 to 154 of the family's 154-position model. Lineage: Eukaryota; Fungi; Glomeromycota; Glomeromycetes; Glomerales; Glomeraceae. The record is from RNAcentral.
GUGAAUCAUCGAAUUUUUGAACGCAAAUUGCGCUUCCUGGCGUCCCGGGAAGUAUGCCUGUUUGAGGGUCAGUAUUAAUAUAAAGUCGGCUUGGUUACAAAUUGUGACGUUUCCGGAGUUUGGGCUAUCUUAACAUUUUUGGCUAAGAGGCUUAUCAUUAACCUUUUUUGCGCAUUUUUAAACGUACAUAAAUUUUUUUUCUUCGUCUCUUCUUAAUGCCAACAUCUUAUUCGAUGCGAUCACAUCUGAUG